CGUAGGUGGCAAGCGUUAUCCGGGAAUUAUUGGGGCGUAAAAGCGCGCGUAGGCGGUUUUUUUAAGUCUGAUGUGAAAGCCCACGGCUCAACCGUGGAGGGUCAUUGGAAAACUGGAAAAACUUGAGUGCAGAAGAGGAAAAGUGGGAAUUCCAUGUGUAGCGGUGAAAUGCGCAGAGAUAUGGAGGAACACCAGUGGCGAAGGCGACUUUUCUGGUCUGUAACUGACGCUGAUGUGCGAAAGCGUGGGAUCAAACAGGAUU
This 262-nucleotide ribosomal RNA is filed under the name uncultured bacterium. RNAcentral describes it as "partial 16S ribosomal RNA". It matches the Rfam family "Bacterial small subunit ribosomal RNA", at positions 526 to 779 of the family's 1533-position model. The record is from RNAcentral.